Molecule: ribosomal RNA, 132 nt
Filed under: Jaculus jaculus (lesser Egyptian jerboa)
Lineage: Eukaryota; Metazoa; Chordata; Mammalia; Rodentia; Dipodidae
Source: RNAcentral
GUCUAUGGCCACAUUACCCUGAAUACGCCCAGUCUUGUCUGAUCCCAGAAGCUAAGCCGGGUGGGAACUGGUCAGUACUUGGAUGGGAAACAUGGCUGUCCUGAAGAGGAGACCCUGACUCAGCUGUGAUCU